This 95-nucleotide small nuclear RNA is filed under the name Cyclospora cayetanensis. Lineage: Eukaryota; Apicomplexa; Conoidasida; Eucoccidiorida; Eimeriidae. The record is from RNAcentral.
GCCUCCUUUGGGAGUGACAUCCGAUAAAGCUGGAACGAUACAAAGACGACUAGCAUGGCCCCUGCCCAAGGAUGAUACAACAAAAGCACACUUCU